Molecule: long non-coding RNA, 1606 nt
Filed under: Gallus gallus (chicken)
Lineage: Eukaryota; Metazoa; Chordata; Aves; Galliformes; Phasianidae
Description: lncRNA (ENSGALG00010026842.1)
Source: RNAcentral
AAUCACCACAACUUCUGUUGAAAAGAAACAAAGCCCAAACGAUUGGCUCUUGUCUGCUUAAUCCUACCCCCACUUAGUGCCUCUCAAGUUUCAAACAGCAGUCCUGCCUACCGACUUUCUGUUCUUUCUGCUUAGUCCUUUAAGCUGUUAACUAGGUGCCUUCUUAGUGAUUCUGUGAGCCCCUUAGGUAUUUGCAUUCCUAAAUGUUUCCAGGGGUUCAAUAGAACUCAUUUCACAUACCCAAGAAGUGUGCAGCCUUGGCUUUUAGUAACUACUCAACUUAAUAGGCUUUCAAGCUAUUACUGUCUUCAAGAAACACAUCUACAAAACUCUGCCAGAAGCUGCUAUGGGUGGGAGCGUUUUGCACUGCUCUUCUUGAAACCGAAGCAUUGUACAGCCCAGCAGGCAAUAGCCACAGACAAAACAGAUCAGAUAGAAAAGGUGUUGCAGGGAGUAGUCUGUAAGUUUAACUCUGCCUAGCUCUGGAUGUAGACUUUCUGGUUCUACUGCCACUCUUCAGAAAUGUGAAGAAGAGAUUGAAAAUGUGGUGUGCAGAAGCCAGGAAGGAAAAUCUCAUGCUUUUAAGAACUCUGCUCUGUAAUUGGAUGAAUCUACCUUCUCUGCUUAAAAGUAGAGAAGACAGAUGAAUGAGCUUGAGCUGUACUUUCAAGGCUUACCACAUGUAGCAGUCUGAAGGGGAUCUGUGGAGUUUGUCUUGAGAAAAUACCACUGUUUGGGAACUAUUCCAGCUCCCAGAUGCUGAGCAUUUUGCUGUUGACCUCAGUUUCAUGUGGGUUGGUGAGUUGAAUUGCGUCAUGGAGAGUCGCGGGAGCUGAAGGCUGACACAAGUUGAGCAACAAAGUGGGAGAAGAAGGGGGGAGAGUUGGGCUUGCUCAAAAUCCAGCAACACCUCUUUCACUAAUUGGAUACUAGGAGCUUUAAAUACUGUCACUUAUCUAACCUUUUACAAUUAAUAUUAAUGGAAAUUAAUUACCGGGAAAAAGGAGGUGUUCUACUGUCAUCAUUAGGAAGAUUGUGGAACAGUUUAUCAUGAAAACUAUUUACUGGCAUGUGAAGAACAGAAGUUUGAUUGUAAACAUCCAGUGUGGAUCUACCAAGAGCAAAUUGUGCUGGACCAACCUGGAUUGACUGUUACGGUGAAGUGACACCGCUGUGCACGAAGAGCCUGUGACUUUGUCCUCAAGACUCAAGCCUGAAGAAAACAUCCAGCUUGAAUCUUAUUUCUAUCUUUCUAUCAAAAACCUGGUGCUUGGUCACCAGGCCUCACCUCCUUCCAAAGAUGCUGUGUGGGGAAGUAGCGCCUGGCUGAGCAGGGCUCCCUCUGACCUUCCUUCUACUCCUGCCUAGAAGUGGCCAGCAUCCCACAUCUGCCCCACACCUGGAUGAUGUAAAAGAGGAGAACCUUAAUUAGCGAACAUGGAAGCUGUUUGUUUUCCUUCCCCUCGUGACCAAUUCCUUCAGCAGGUGAGGAGCUUGUAUAGGCCUUCUGCUCUCCCCUCAGAUCUCUUCGAGAGCUGACGUAGUUCUGUGCUUCUUGACAUCAGCUGAUCCUCUUCAAACUGUUUCCCCAAGAUGUGGUUUGUCA